ACGGAAGGCAGCAGUGGGGAAUAUUGCACAAUGGGCGAAAGCCUGAUGCAGCGACGCCGCGUGAGUGAAGAAGUAUCUCGGUAUGUAAAGCUCUAUCAGCAGGGAAGAAAAUGACGGUACCUGACUAAGAAGCCCCGGCUAACUACGUGCCAGCAGCCGCGGUAAUACGUAGGGGGCAAGCGUUAUCCGGAUUUACUGGGUGUAAAGGGAGCGUAGACGGUUUGGCAAGUCUGAAGUGAAAUGCGGGGGCUCAACUCCUGAACUGCUUUGGAAACUGUCGAACUAGAGUGCAGGAGAGGUAAGUGGAAUUCCUAGUGUAGCGGUGAAAUGCGUAGAUAUUAGGAGGAACACCAGUGGCGAAGGUGGCUUACUGGACUGUAACUGACGUUGAGGCUCGAAAGCGUGGGGAGCAAACAGGAUUAGAUACCCUGGUA
This 434-nucleotide ribosomal RNA is filed under the name uncultured Lachnospiraceae bacterium. RNAcentral describes it as "partial 16S ribosomal RNA". It matches the Rfam family "Bacterial small subunit ribosomal RNA", at positions 341 to 792 of the family's 1533-position model. The record is from RNAcentral. Lineage: Bacteria; Bacillati; Bacillota; Clostridia; Lachnospirales; Lachnospiraceae.